CUGGAUAUGGAUGCAUAUACUAAAGACAAUUCAUAUUCUGCUGAAUUUUAAAUGGAGUAUGAGUGUAUGACUGCAAGCAAUACACACGAGAAGAAAAUCAAACAGAUGCUGACAGCUGGUACAUGAUGGAUGUACAGAGAGAUCCAUGUAUGUAUUUCUCCCUCACAUGAAGGAAACGGACACUGGUUAUAGAAACUAGUCGAAGACUACUACACAUGCUAGGAGUAGAUCAUAUCCUCGUCCAUGUCCUUCCUGAAAAGAAACCCUCGGAAGUGGUUCGAUGUGACUUCAGUUGGUUCAUAUUCCAUGCAACAGAUUGGCUGAGCAGCAAAUAAUAUAUGUGAAAAUAACUCAUGAGAUGAAAAACAAGUGUAUAUAUACAUUAUACGCUACAAAUCUCCUCUAUAAUUGAAAACUUUUUGGGCCGUUAGACCAGACAAACUCACGCCCCAACAAACUCAUCUCCACCGCAGCCCACUAAUUCGGCCCACUAAUCUCCACCAUAACCAGGUCAAAACACGCAUCUGGCUCCAGGGAGUGAAUUUUGCACGCAUGCAUACAUGCAAGACACAGUUUCUGUCGUAAAAAUAUUCUACUACUGGAGUAAUAAAUCUUUUUGCUGUGAUUUUAGUUGAUCUUUUUUUUAAUAAUAAAUAAUAAAUAGCUGCAGUAGCCAGUAGGUGCUGUAUAUGGUCCCUACUGGAGUACAUACAUGAGAAAACGUUUUUCCUCCAAAGGCUAGCCUGGUUACAGUACGUGACAUGUACCGUGAUCAUAGAUCGAUUUUAGUAUAUCCGUAUUCAAGUAUUAUAGGUUACACGUAUACGUACCGGAUCGUCGGUG
RNAcentral lists this long non-coding RNA (843 nucleotides) under Sorghum bicolor (sorghum). Its description in RNAcentral is "long non-coding RNA (SBIC_LNC001425)". The record is from RNAcentral. Lineage: Eukaryota; Viridiplantae; Streptophyta; Magnoliopsida; Poales; Poaceae.